UACAGAGGUGGCAAGCGUUGUUCGGAAUUACUGGGCGUAAAGGGCGCGUAGGCGGCCCUCUAAGUCAGACGUGAAAUCCCCCGGCUUAACCUGGGAACUGCGUCUGAUACUGGGGGGCUAGAGUUUGGGAGAGGGAUGUAGAAUUCCAGGUGUAGCGGUGAAAUGCGUAGAUAUCUGGAGGAAUACCGGUGGCGAAGGCGGCAUCCUGGACCAAUACUGACGCUGAGGAGCGAAAGCUAGGGGAGCAAACGGG
Molecule: ribosomal RNA, 253 nt
Filed under: uncultured bacterium
Lineage: Bacteria
Description: partial 16S ribosomal RNA
Rfam family: Bacterial small subunit ribosomal RNA
Source: RNAcentral